CGGGGCGUAGGCUAGUCUGGUAAGUCGCUGGCUUUGGGGGUCAGAAAUCGAAGGUUCAAAUCCUUUCGCCCCGACCA
RNAcentral lists this transfer RNA (77 nucleotides) under Candidatus Thorarchaeota archaeon. RNAcentral describes it as "tRNA-Pro". It matches the Rfam family "tRNA". Rfam says of the family: Transfer RNA (tRNA) molecules are approximately 80 nucleotides in length. Their secondary structure includes four short double-helical elements and three loops (D, anti-codon, and T loops). The record is from RNAcentral. RNAcentral also lists the same sequence under 1 other name. Lineage: Archaea; Promethearchaeati; Candidatus Thorarchaeota.